RNAcentral lists this microRNA precursor (105 nucleotides) under Canis lupus familiaris (dog). RNAcentral's name for it is "mir-8834 microRNA precursor family". It matches the Rfam family "mir-8834 microRNA precursor family". The record is from Rfam by way of RNAcentral. RNAcentral also lists the same sequence under 1 other name. Lineage: Eukaryota; Metazoa; Chordata; Mammalia; Carnivora; Canidae.
AGGAGCAACAGCCCUAGUGGCGGGGCCAGCUCUGGAGCCCUAGAUUCAGCCCCCGCAGGAACUCCGGAGCUCUCCGUCUGCAGGGCCUGGAGGCUCCGGGGCGGG